CUGGACGGUCACAGCGGUGGGGUUCACCCGGACUCAUUCCGAACCCGGUAGUUAAGCCCACCCGCGUUCCUUAUGGUACUUUGGUGCUCGCGCCCAUGGGAAGUUUGGAUCGCUGUCCGUC
Molecule: ribosomal RNA, 121 nt
Filed under: Thermoplasmata archaeon
Lineage: Archaea; Methanobacteriati; Thermoplasmatota; Thermoplasmata
Source: RNAcentral